RNAcentral lists this ribosomal RNA (460 nucleotides) under Funneliformis mosseae. RNAcentral's name for it is "LSU rRNA". It matches the Rfam family "Eukaryotic large subunit ribosomal RNA", at positions 358 to 668 of the family's 3401-position model. Lineage: Eukaryota; Fungi; Glomeromycota; Glomeromycetes; Glomerales; Glomeraceae. The record is from RNAcentral.
GGAAAGAUGAAAAGAACUUUGAAAAGAGAGUUAAACAGUACGUGAAAUUGUUGAAAGGGAAACGAUUGAAGUCAGUCAUACCAACGGGAAAUCAACCUUUUGAGCUUGGUCUCGUGGGUUUUGAAGAGUUUCAAAGCCUUCGGAUUCGCGGGAUUGGGAUCUCUUGGUGUACUUUUUCGUACGGUUAGUCAACAUCGGUUUUGAAUGUCAUAAAAUGACUGGAGGAAUGUAGCUUCGAUCUCGUAUUGAAGUGUUAUAGCCUUUGGUAGAUGUGAUGUUUGAGACCGAGGAUUGCAACGGAUACCCUUCAGGGCUACUCGUCUGAUCUCUGAUACGUUGCCUUGAUGUUGAAAGCUUGCUUAUGAUGUUAGGGUAUUACGGUCAAAAGGUUAGAACGAAUUACAUUCGUUAAGGAUGUUGACGUAAUGACUUUAAACGACCCGUCUUGAAACACGGACCA